GACGAACGCUGGUGGCGUGCCUAAUACAUGCAAGUCGAGCGGACCAAUAGAAGCUUGCUUCUGUUGGUUAGCGGCGGACGGGUGAGUAACACGUGGGCAACCUGCCUGUAAGACUGGGAUAACUUCGGGAAACCGGAGCUAAUACGGGAGAAUUCAUCCCCUCGCAUGAGGGGAUGCUGAAAGUCGGUUUACGCUGACACUUACAGAUGGGCCCGCGGCGCAUUAGCUAGUUGGUGAGGUAAUGGCUCACCAAGGCGACGAUGCGUAGCCGACCUGAGAGGGAGAUCGGCCACACUGGGACUGAGACACGGCCCAGACUCCUACGGGAGGCAGCAGUAGGGAAUCUUCCACAAUGGACGAAAGUCUGAUGGAGCAACGCCGCGUGAGCGAUGAAGGCCUUCGGGUCGUAAAGCUCUGUUGUUAGGGAAGAACAAGUAUCGGAGUAACUGCCGGUACCUUGACGGUACCUAACCAGAAAGCCACGGCUAACUACGUGCCAGCCGCCGCCGUAA
Molecule: ribosomal RNA, 512 nt
Filed under: uncultured bacterium
Lineage: Bacteria
Description: partial 16S ribosomal RNA
Rfam family: Bacterial small subunit ribosomal RNA
Source: RNAcentral